RNAcentral lists this transfer RNA (72 nucleotides) under Arthonia kermesina. Its description in RNAcentral is "tRNA-Ala". It matches the Rfam family "tRNA". Rfam says of the family: Transfer RNA (tRNA) molecules are approximately 80 nucleotides in length. Their secondary structure includes four short double-helical elements and three loops (D, anti-codon, and T loops). Lineage: Eukaryota; Fungi; Ascomycota; Arthoniomycetes; Arthoniales; Arthoniaceae. The record is from RNAcentral.
GGGGAUAUAGUUUAAUUGGCAUAACUAUGAUUUUGCAUAUCGUCUAUCUAGGUUCAAGUCCUAGUAUCUCCA